This 380-nucleotide ribosomal RNA is filed under the name Dehalococcoidia bacterium. RNAcentral's name for it is "partial 23S ribosomal RNA". It matches the Rfam family "Bacterial large subunit ribosomal RNA", at positions 2554 to 2925 of the family's 2925-position model. Lineage: Bacteria; Bacillati; Chloroflexota; Dehalococcoidia. The record is from RNAcentral.
UGAAGGCGGUCCCAAGGGUCCGGCUGUUCGCCGGUUAAAGGGGUACGUGAGUUGGGUUCAGAACGUCGUGAGACAGUUCGGUCUCUAUCCGCCGCGGGCGCAGGAGGCUUGAGGGAACCUUUCCCUAGUACGAGAGGACCGGGAAGGACAGACCUAUGGUGUGCCAGUUGUUCCGCCAGGAGCAGCGCUGGGUAGCCAUGUCUGGCAGUGAUAAGCGCUGAAGGCAUCUAAGCGCGAAGCAUCCCCCAAGAUAAGGCUUCCCUUCCCUAUUUAGUUAGGGAGUAAGACUGCAGAGAGACUAUCUGCUUGAUAGGCCGGAAGUGUAAGAGUAGUAAUAUUUUCAGCUUACCGGUACUAACCAGUCGAGAGGCUUGACCCAU